Long non-coding RNA from Phascolarctos cinereus (koala), 669 nucleotides. RefSeq lists it as uncharacterized. The record is from RefSeq and is a predicted model, not a curated record. NCBI's taxonomy places the organism in Eukaryota, Metazoa, Chordata, Mammalia, Diprotodontia, Phascolarctidae.
UGUUCUUUCCCUCCUGCUUCGGUGCUCCACAGCGCCUUAAGCCCCAGCCUGUCAGAAUGAGAAAGGAAAGGGGAGAAGUGUUCUUCCAACAAAACUACACUACUUUGGGGAAGUAGAUAAGAGGAGACCCACACACCAAACGGCGAUCGCCUCCCGUCCGUCCUCCGCGGUUGCUAGCCCUGGACAAGGAUUGCAAGGCAGUUUCGAAAUCCCGAGCACGCUGGAGACAGACACUCUGUCAUGCCCACAUGCUCUUUAAACGUCUCUGCGUGUGUAUGUUUGUGCGCGCGCGCGCUUUGCAUGUCCUGAUUCAACUCGGCCGCAGUAGCUGCCGCAGCAGCAGAGGCGCUGACUCUUCCUCUCCCCCACCAACCUUCGCCAGCGGCCCCCCCCCUUGAGGCAGCUGCUGCCUUUAUGGGAAACGGGCGAAAACAUCGUGGCUGCUCAUCUGGUUCGAUUUCCCUUUCACAUUCUUGUGACUCUUUCCUGCGAGUGUGGUGUUUGCAAACACAGAGCUCUAGCUGUAGUCUCUCUGGAGACAAGCCUUCCAUCACGGCCAUUUUGUCAUCUACCUACUGUCCCACACAUCCUGCACAAGACGCUAAGGUCAUCCACUGCAUCCCAGGACUUUUGUCCAGCCACUGGACUUCAAUGGCUCUGAUCCAGAGA